This is a non-coding RNA of Populus trichocarpa (black cottonwood), 108 nucleotides long. The record is from Rfam. Lineage: Eukaryota; Viridiplantae; Streptophyta; Magnoliopsida; Malpighiales; Salicaceae.
CAAUCUAUCCAAGGUAAAUUCUUAUUUAGUUGUGGCAGACCCACACUUAACUACUAAAAAUCACCCGUGAAAACUAAUGCACGAGCAGUAACUUUUUAAGAUUUUAAU